GGAUAUAAAAGUGUCUGAACCUGUACCACCCCCCUCUCUCGUCUCUAUCCAUAGACCCCUCAGAGACUAAACCCUAAUCCCGCCGCCCCUAAAUACCACCGCCAGUGAUGGUGGCUUCGAUGCCAAUGGCCACCAAAUUAACACCCCAAACUCCCCUUCUCAUCCCCUAUCCAAAUCCAUAACCUACUUCCCUCAAACAUACCUAGAAAGCUUCGAAUAAUCGAUCAAAGAUUUUCCGGCCAUGACACCACUUCUACCAAAUUAGUCCAAAUUAACACCACAAGACCGCCUUAAUUUCCUAUAUCAAACCCCCAAGUUACCAACCCUCGAAUAUGGCCGGAAGUGUUCGAAUAUUGAUUUGCACUUUUCCGGCCAAAACCCUAGUUGCCCCAAACCACUCCAAAUUGGCACCAUGUGAUUCCCUUACCUUCCCCAUGAGGAAUCCACUGUCAAUAACACUCAAUUCCCACAAGAGAUGGCCGAAUUUGGACUUCGAAAGUCAGCCAAGUUUUUGAGUUUGUCCUAGUGAGUUUCAAUAUUCUCUUCAUUCUUCAUUUAAUUACUUUCUAUUGCUCCUGUUCUCACUGUGAUUAAUUGCCAGUCUAAUGUGUGCUUCAAUUUUAUCAGUACUAUUUUAAUUUUUUGUCAUUAGUUGUUUUGAUUAAUUCUAAUUGAUUGUUUGAUCAUAAUUUGUUCCAACUCUUGAUUUUGGUUUGAUUUUAGUUUAAGCUUGUAAUAAUUCAUUAAUAAAUUUAUUUUUUAAAAUUCCGUUUGAAUUAAUUUCUAGUAUUCCUUUAGUCAGGUUAAUUGCUAGUUAGUUCAAUUUUAGUUUAAUUGAUCUCUUUUGAUAGUUAAUUUGGUCAUUGAUUCUGAGUUCAAAUCACUAGAUUUUAAUAAGAGUUAAAAUUGGGUUUAUUCUUCAAUAGUUGGCAAUUCAGAGUUUAGGAAAUUGGUUGGUUAUAGCUGCAAUCUAGACUAAAUUCAGGGAUAAUUUGGGUAUUUUGGAUUUGUUGGAACAUGGUUGAAUAUUCUAGGAUCUUCUAGAGUAGUACUAGAGUGCAUAUUUCAGUAACUUAGGGUACUUACUUGAGGAAAAAGUCAAUAAGUAAGAGAACUGAACUGAAUAAAACUGAGGGACUAAAAAAAACUAAAAAACAGAUAUUUUCCAUUUUGUGCCUAUAAAAGGCAUGCACCUUGCCUUCACAUAGAAGUUGGAGAGGCCAAACAAUUCUCCCCAAAAAUACUUUCUAAGCUUUUCAGAUCAGAAAUUCAAAUCUAAGAUCCAAAUCUUCCUUUAGAUCUUAGUUUAAAAGAAACAAAAAAACAAACAAAUUCAGUAGAAUAUCUCAAAAAAUACGUGGAAAAGUUACAGAAAAAUACAAAAGCACUAUUGCAUUGCCAAUAGCCUACUUUGAAUCCAAAAGAAGUUUGAAAUCCUCUAUUUCGCUUGAUAUUGCAAUUUCAAAGCUGUUUCGAGUUAGUUUGCAUGGAAUCUGAUUAGUUUGAGGUGGAUUGUUGGUUAUUUGCUGAUUCUGUUAAGUGUUGGUUUCAUUUUGGUCAUUUUGGUUUGUUCUGGUCAAUCGAUUUGCUCUAUUCAGUUUCUCUGAAAACUUUCUGGGUACUGCAUCUCUCUGGCUUGUAUUUGAUUCCUGCUCCUGGCUACUGCUGACUCCUUCUUCUUCCUCUUGUAUUUCGAUAAACCAAGUACCUAUUCUGUAAUAUUCAGGCUCUCGAAUAUGAAGCGAAGUGUUGUUUGAAUAGAUCUAUGAAUUUCACGUUUUGUCUUAAUUUCUUGCCUCAUUUUAAUUUCAUUCAAGUUAUUUGUAUAAAGUGGACUACAUGAACUCUUUGGACUGUACUUUAGCAUAUUAGUUGGUUUCAUUUGUUCCAUUUGUUCGUACUGACAAUGAUGAUAGUGAUGAGUAAAGUUGUGUUAGCAAUUAGCUUUGGGUCAAUGGAACUGAUUUCAUGAUACGGUUAUUAAUCACAUUAGUUAACCACGGCAUUUUAUGACUGCUUGUAUUACUUCCUAGUUUAAUAGCUCUACGUGAACAAUUGCUUUAAAUCUAGUGGAUGUAUGCACUUGAACUGGUAUUUCCGAGUGGGCCUUAGGUUUUGGGUAAAAUCAGAUAAAUAAAUGUAUACAUCUGUUAAGUUAAUCCAUUAAGUCUGAUAGUUUAAUUUAGUUAGUGAUAUUCUAAUCCAUACUUUUGGAUCGUGCCAUGCACUAUUUCGUUUGUUGCAAUUGUUGAAUACGUUUAAAGUAUCUUAAGU
Molecule: long non-coding RNA, 2274 nt
Filed under: Nicotiana benthamiana
Lineage: Eukaryota; Viridiplantae; Streptophyta; Magnoliopsida; Solanales; Solanaceae
Description: long non-coding RNA (NBEN_LNC030993)
Source: RNAcentral